UAUGUGGACACUUUGGGAACCCAAACUUAAAAAGGUACCAUUUCUCCAAGGAACUUAACAUGAAAAAUACAAAAAUGAUGUGUACAAUUAUUGCUCUUUCUAGGCAUUUGAAACUCAUACAACUAAAGUUCGAGAAGAUGAUUCUUUCAUUGUAAUAGUACGAUAAUAUUGUAAAAUUUAUUUGAUUCUGUAGAGGCAUGGAGAUUUGCAAGUGCGGAUACCGGUUCAAGGUAUCUUGUUAUCUUGUGAUUAUUAAGCUGGCUCUACGACUAUAAUGAAUUUCCUUGUGCACUGCAUGCACACAUGUGGUGGGGUGAUGAGUGGCCCGUGCAGUAACGGCGCCUCCGUGAUUUGAAUGAUCUUUUGAUUUCCUCCAAUUUUUCAUACUAUUCGGAAGAUUGCUUACACAUUUUCGAAUCACAAGUCUUGAACAUGGCCUGACUGAGAGUAUUUAUACGAUGGGCAUUCAUGAAGCUCUGACCCUUCUUCAUGCAGUUGAGUUCCAUCCAACUACUCAUUUCAUGAAGUUUUUACCUUCUUUUCUCUUCAUUAUUUUUGUAAGAAGAACUACAACAUAAAAAAGAACGAUCACAUGAGGUUUCAGUGCCUACUCAGAUAAUGAAAGAUAUAUAUUAAGAAGUUCCCGGAUGACGUGGCCAACACUUAUUGCAUGCUUGGAUGUCCAAGGCUAUAUAUAUAUGUAGUCACACAUCCGCUCACCUUCCUUAGGAAUUAGGAUGUUAAAGGUCCAGUGUUCAUGAGUCUAGAUAUCUUUUCUUUCAUAUUCCUUUCAAUCUAUGAAAUACUCUGAAAUAUUGGAAGAAAGCAAAAGAUCAUGGUGAGCAUUUACUAUACUACUGCGAGCCAUUUCUACAUGGAACUUCACUCGACAAUAGACAACGAUUUUGUGCAGUUAUUAUUCUUGUGUGUCUAAUAUUUUUUUAUUCAUUCCAAUUAGAUUCAACCAACAUAUAUGACAUAAAGAUUUGAAGGUUGGGAAGCCAGUAGUUGGAGGAUGCUGGUUGCUCAAGUUUGAGGAUAGGGCGUUGUCUUUCAUCACAGAAGCAAAAGUUGAAGAGUUUUUUCAGAUAUGGUCGUCUUGGACGUCGAGUGUCAUGGGAGAAAUACUCAGGAGUAUAGUACUGAAUAACAUUGUAUAAAGAGCUUGACCAAUGGUGUUCAAGGUUUGUUAGGUGUGUUAGAAUAAAGUGGACCACAAAAAAUUGUAUGAAUUACAUAGCAGUGUAAUCCUUCACUACAGGAAUCAGUAAGUUUGCCGUCAGGCAAAAACAAACGGGAAAGGCCUGCGUACAAACAUCAAAGAUUUUUGCCGUCUACCAGUAGACGGCAAAGCAUGACGGCAUACUAUGAGUGGGGAAAGAGAUUCUUUGUCGUCAGUUUUUGAUCGGGCAGGCGGCAAAGAUUUUCCCGACAAUGUGAAUUCUUUGUCGUCAGCUAGUCCGAAAAAGACGGCAAAAAAAGCAACUCACAGAACAGGCCGUCAAACGGACGGAGUUAGUCGCGGAGGUGCAGGGUGAGGCGCUGCACUCGCGGCCUUCAUCUCCCUCUACGUACCCUACUUCACCCCAGAGGGCUUCCGGGGCUGGGCCUGCUGCGGUAUCCACUCCCACGCCGCUCAGACGCAGCGGUCGACAUCUCAUAAAUGCUGAUGGCACAUCUGUCACUGAUGAGGACUCCAUGCUGAAGGCCAUGCGCAGAACGACUUCCCGCAACCUCGACUUUGAAGGUAUCUCUCCGCAAAAAUCUUUUCUUUCUUUUAAUAAUGCCAAAGUUUCAUCAACUAUUUCUAGCCUUGGUAUUUCUUUAGGAAGAAAUGAAAAAAAUGAUAGAAAUCUCUGUUAGGGCUCUUAAACAAGUGGAGUUCGGCCGGCUUACGGUUGCUCCUAAGUCGCUCAUGUUUGUGGACCCCUUAGUACGAGAUGACGAGGACGAGGACGUUGAUGCCAAUCAUGACAGCAAGCUCCUUUCCCAUUUGGUUACUGACACAACUGAAGUAGACUUGGUUGUUGAAGUAGCACGUAGCCCCGGUCUUCCUGAACUGCUGCCAAUAGGAGUUGAAGGCGUAGUUGGCCUGCGCCGCGCCCGUGCGCCACAAAAAAUAACUCUGCUACAGAUUCAACAUCUAGGAGAGCAAGGCUGAAUCCAUGAGUGUAGGUGAAUAAGCAUGCAACAAUUCUACCAAAAAAAGAAUGGGGGAUGGGCAGCUGAAUCUCACCUUGAAGGCACGGCCGGCCUUGAUCCGUGGGGGCGGCGGGCGUCGACCGGCAGGGAGGCAUGUGUUAGGAAGUAUUGGUAUUAGUCUAUGUUUACUUUCCUUGCACCUCAAGUCAUGUGUAAUAUAUAUAUGCCCCUUGGGUCUUCAAUAAAGAUAAGUUGCUUUCCUAACAUGGUAUUAGAGCCUAGGUUUAGGUCUUCAGACGCCGCAACUCGUCCUCACGAUCCAAAUUUUUUUCUUCCUCUCGACGAUCUGUUCUGGGUCGAUCUCGUCUUCUCCCGUCGUUUCCAAGCUGUGGGCACCUACCGAUCGCGGACGCAGAUCCGGUGCUGCUCCAGAUCGAGGCGCCCCUCAUUAGGUCCGGUGCUGCUUCAGAUCGAGCGACACCGAGCCAUCUUGUCAGCCUCUUUGCUCUCCGCUCAGGCCAGCGCUCGGCUGCGCAUGAAGGCUGCUGCUCCAGCCAAACAAGAUUGAUCUGGAUGGACACGGGUAAUGCCCGUGGCUGCUUCUCGUCGUUCCACCAAAGCGUUGCUGCCUUACGCCUGUGCCUCAUGCGUCCCUUUUGCCACGAUCGUGCACAAGGCUGCCUUCUUCCAGCAUGUAUUUCUGCUGCUACCUCUGCCCAGUGCUUGCGUUCUGCAGCUACAACGCAUGGUUGUAUGCUGCUACUAGCUGCUUACUGUUGCUACGUAAUGCUGCUUGCUGCUGCUAUGUGAUGCUUCUGUCACUUGCCGUUCUAUAGUAUACUAUGUGCUUUCUAGUUUUUCUUUUUUUGUUUUCCGCUGCGUCCAUCAAAUCCGUCGAUAUUAUGUGUUUCUCAUGCCAUACGAGUCCACCGUACCAUUGUCCGUCAGCCUUUCUCCGGUUCUGAUCCUUUCUAUACAACUUUUGUGGCCUAUUUGCCCUUGUUGUUUUCUAUAGGAUUUUCUAGACUUCUUUUGCAUUGUCGAUCUACGUCCAUCGUGCCUUAUCCGCCGAGCUUCUUUCGCCGACGGUUGUCGUCGACUAUGAUUUUCUGCACAAUGCUUUAUUUUCUUGAUGUGCCAUCUUCUUUUGACAACCCAUCUUCUUUUGAUACUUAUGUUGUAUCUUCAAGUGAUGCGGUGUCUUCCUCUGAUGUGCCAUAUCUUCGUUGUCUUCCUCUGAUGUGACAUCUUCUUUUGACAACCCAUCUUCUCUUGAUACUUAUCUUGUAUCUUCAAGUGAUGCGGUGUCUACCUCUGAUGUGCCAUCUCUUCGUUAUCUCCUUCGGCGACUCGACAAGUUUUGAAGACUCUUCGUGCUACAACGACACUCUCAAGACGCAGAUUUGGAUUAUCAUUUUUUUAGUAUUACACUUCUUCAAAUGUAAUGCUAUUGCAUAUGCUUUGCAUUUGAGGGGGGGGAUGUUAGGAAGUAUUAGUAUUAGUCUAGGAGUCCUUAUUAGUCUAUGUUUACUUUCCUUGCACCUCAAGUCAUGUGUAAUAUAUAUAUGCCCCUUGGGCCUUCAAUAAAGAUAAGUUACUUUCCUAACAACAGGGACCGGCAGGGAGGCUCGCGGUGGGGUGGGAACGGAGCCACCGGACUUAUCCCCCAGCCAUCUUGCGGAGACCGACCGCUGCGGCCGUGGCGACCGGGGAGGGCGGCGGAGGCGGCGACACGGGAGGGGGCGGCGACCGACGAGGGCUACAACACGCUGCUGUGGCUGAGCUCGCGGGUACCGCUGGUGUGAGAGAGGGGGGCCGCGGUGGUUAUUUUGGGUGAGUGUGGGGUGUGUGUCUGUUUUUUUCUCUUUACCGUCAUGGGUACAGAAAGCAGAAGGCAAAGCAACCCUCUUUGCUGUCAGCUGGAUGGAAUGCAAGACGGCAAAAAUAUAUGCCUUUUUAGGCCCGUUAGAUAGGCCCAUGGAUAACUGUUUGCCGUCAGCUAGAGAGGAGGAAGACGACAAAGAUUCAGCUACCCAACUAGUUGACGGCAAACCUGUCUUUGCCGUGAAGUAUUCUUUGUCGUCUGCUUUAUGUCACUUUAGCCGUCCGUCUUACUUUGUCGUCUGCUCAAAGACGGCAAAAUAAUCUUUGUCGUGUGCCCCUAUAAUAAGCUGACGGCAAAGUAUUUCACAGUAGUCAAAAUAACUGUUCCCGUGGUGCUUGUGCCUUUUGUCUAGUACUGAAUAACGUUGUAUAAAGAGCUCCACCAAUGGUGUUAAAGGUUUGUUAGGUGUGUUAGAAUAAGGUGGACCACAAAAAAUUGUAUGAAUUAC
Molecule: long non-coding RNA, 4475 nt
Filed under: Hordeum vulgare
Lineage: Eukaryota; Viridiplantae; Streptophyta; Magnoliopsida; Poales; Poaceae
Description: long non-coding RNA (HVUL_LNC011324)
Source: RNAcentral